Molecule: long non-coding RNA, 488 nt
Organism: Plodia interpunctella (Indianmeal moth)
Lineage: Eukaryota; Metazoa; Arthropoda; Insecta; Lepidoptera; Pyralidae
Exons: 2
Source: RefSeq, a predicted model, not a curated record
UUAGAAUGUGUCAGUCGGCAAAUUAAAAUAAAAAUAUAAACAAUCGUCAAUGAGUGUCAAUGGAGUGUUACACACCAUCUAAAAUAUUAAUUUAUUUAAUUCUAAUUUAAUCAAGAUGUGGAAUAAAGUAUCUCCUAUAUAUGGCGCUAUACACGAUACUAUUUUGUUUAAGUAUAUUUAUGAUAGCAUUAGUCAUAGCUGUUAUAAAGAAAAUGUUUUUUCGUUGGAAAGAAGAACAUAAGAUCGAGAGAAUGGUUAGAACUAUUGUGGAAAGGCCGGCGGUAAGCGUAAUAAUAAACACAGAUAAGUGCGUCCUCCGGCGGCGUACCUAUGCAGAAUGUAUUGACAUCUAUGACAUCAUCACUAAGAGCGAUAUUAGCUUGACGAAGGACCACGAAUUGACAUCGAGCACACACGCCAUCUCAGCCACGCAGAAUUAAAGCAUUUUCUUGAAUAUUGUUAAUGAUAAAAUAAUAUUUUCACAUUUA